UACGUAGGGUGCGAGCGUUGUCCGGAAUUAUUGGGCGUAAAGAGCUCGUAGGCGGUCUGUCGCGUCUGCUGUGAAAACUCGGGGCUUAACCCCGGGCCUGCAGUGGGUACGGGCAGACUAGAGUGCGGUAGGGGAGACUGGAAUUCCUGGUGUAGCAGUGAAAUGCGUAGAUAUCAGGAGGAACACCGAUGGCGAAGGCAGGUCUCUGGGCUGACACUGACGCUCAUGCACGAAAGCGUGGGGAGCAAACAGG
RNAcentral lists this ribosomal RNA (253 nucleotides) under uncultured bacterium. Its description in RNAcentral is "partial 16S ribosomal RNA". It matches the Rfam family "Bacterial small subunit ribosomal RNA", at positions 524 to 776 of the family's 1533-position model. The record is from RNAcentral.